This 426-nucleotide ribosomal RNA is filed under the name uncultured Acinetobacter sp. RNAcentral describes it as "bacterial SSU rRNA". It matches the Rfam family "Bacterial small subunit ribosomal RNA", at positions 432 to 849 of the family's 1533-position model. Lineage: Bacteria; Pseudomonadati; Pseudomonadota; Gammaproteobacteria; Moraxellales; Moraxellaceae. The record is from RNAcentral.
ACUUUAAGCGAGGAGGAGGCUACUUGGAUUAAUACUCUAGGAUAGUGGACGUUACUCGCAGAAUAAGCACCGGCUAACUCUGUGCCAGCAGCCGCGGUAAUACAGAGGGUGCGAGCGUUAAUCGGAUUUACUGGGCGUAAAGCGUGCGUAGGCGGCUUCUUAAGUCGGAUGUGAAAUCCCUGAGCUUAACUUAGGAAUUGCAUUCGAUACUGGGAAGCUAGAGUAUGGGAGAGGAUGGUAGAAUUCCAGGUGUAGCGGUGAAAUGCGUAGAGAUCUGGAGGAAUACCGAUGGCGAAGGCAGCCAUCUGGCCUAAUACUGACGCUGAGGUACGAAAGCAUGGGGAGCAAACAGGAUUAGAUACCCUGGUAGUCCAUGCCGUAAACGAUGUCUACUAGCCGUUGGGGCCUUUGAGGCUUUAGUGGCGC